This 198-nucleotide ribosomal RNA is filed under the name uncultured bacterium. RNAcentral's name for it is "partial 16S ribosomal RNA". It matches the Rfam family "Bacterial small subunit ribosomal RNA", at positions 328 to 539 of the family's 1533-position model. The record is from RNAcentral.
ACGCUCGACACCUACGGGGGGCAGCAGUGGGGAAUAUUGCACAAUGGGGGAAACCCUGAUGCAGCGACGCCGCGUGAGCGAAGAAGUAUUUCGGUAUGUAAAGCUCUAUCAGCAGGGAAGAAACUGACGGUACCUGACUAAGAAGCACCGGCUAAAUACGUGCCAUCAGCCGCGGUAAUCUGAGCGGGCUGGCAAGGC